Non-coding RNA from Rattus norvegicus (Norway rat), 3878 nucleotides. The record is from RefSeq and is a predicted model, not a curated record. Lineage: Eukaryota; Metazoa; Chordata; Mammalia; Rodentia; Muridae.
GCAGCCUUCUUCCUGCAGCAGCCACGAGGAGCACGGGGAUGCAUUCCAGCCACAGUAACGAGUUGACCCCGCCCCACCAGGAAUGCUGAGUUCUGUCAAGGGAUGGAGAAAGUCCUCAGAGCCCCCUGAGGUAUUGUCCCUGCUACAGUCCACUCCAGACCCAGUCCCACCCACCCCCACUCCCGCAGACUCUUAGGGAAGGACUGCCCGCACACACUCCUGAAGGAUCAUGGGCGAUAAGGAAAAACCACCGUACAGCAGUCCCUGCUGUGUGUCACAAGGAGAAAGGGAAGUGAAACAAACCCAAGCCCUGGGUUUAGACAAAGGGUAGAGAAGAAACAGAUCGAACCUGCAGGCAGCUCUUUAAAGGUUUAGAAGACACCGUCUUGCUUGCCAUUUCUUGAUUAAUCCUACACAGAAGUUGCGGUGAGGCCAGUUUCACACCCCAUCAUGAAGGGCUGUCGUGUGGUCUUGGGAAUACUGUGGGCUUGGUGAGGAGGACUGGAGCUGGGGUUUCAGGUGCUGUACCAGCUUUUCAUCCAAUUUUGGAGAAGUUGCUUCUUCUUCUCUCUGUGUUCCAGUCUCCUUAGUCAUAAAACGAGAAGUGGGUCUUCCUUUCAGCCGCCCCAUUCUGAAAUCCAAGAGGCUGUCCCCAGAAGUGACACCAGAUAAUUCAAGAGCAUUGAGGUGCAUUCUUAGAAAGGCAGAGAUUGGAGGAAGAGGAGCCUGUCCAUAAGAAUAGGUAUAAAUGACUGAAAAAAGCUUUGAAAUUGUCUUACUCUGAGUAAAUGACCAGAGUGUAUACAAAGACUGGUCUAAAAGAAAGAGGCGUUGAUGGAAGGUUCUCUGGAUUGUUUGCUGCUGCUGCUGCUGCUGCUGCUGCUGCUGCUGCUGCUGCUGCUGCUGUUGUUGUAUUAAAUGAGUUGAGGAAGAGGAGUGAUGCGCCUAACACAGGCCUCCUUGGGAACCAUGGAGUAGGUUGUGUAGACCACCUCUCCUUCUGGAAACAACUGAAAAUACAGAUUUUUUUAAAAAUCUGCCUAAAAACCAAAGAGAUGACAAGAGAACAUUGCCAUAUUAAAAGUAAAGAGAAACGAAGACGAAUUAGGACCAAGCAUAGUGGCACGUGCAUAUGACAAGACCAUAAGACGAUGUAAACUAACUUCAAGAAAUUUAAUAUGAAAGGAAAAAAUGAAAUAAAAAGAGAAGGGGGAAUCACCCGGUGUGGUAAGCAGGCGUCAUAGCUGCUGCUAAGCUGAACCUAUGUGCUGAGCUUUGAAAUCCAGGAGCUUUAUUCCCAGAGCUCAAUGGCACAUAAACAAAAUCAAGGUCCAGGCCCACAUACUGUGAAGCAUCUGUAAGGAGACACACCUCUCCCACCAAGCUAGAACCCCAAAAACUUCACCCUCAGAAUGAGGUCAGGCAGAUGUGGUCCAGCACCCACGGCAGCAGGGCCUGGCUCCAGGCUUCUUGGUCUGUUCCAACCUCCUGAUAUAGUGUGUCCCAAGGAUCUGUAGCAUCAGUUCAGGGAGCACAAAGGAAACAAGUCCUUAGGCUCCUGUGUCAGAAUCAGAGACCCUGUGAGCUGAUAGGCUGCCAACUUGACAUAACCUAGGCACAUGUGGGAUGAGGGGAUCUCAGGUGAGGCAUUUUCUUGACUGACAUGAGAGGUCCAGCCUAUUACAGGUAGUGCCUACACUGGGCAGAUGAUCCUGAAGUGUAUAAAAAGGCAAACUAAGCGGCAAGCCAUAGGGAGGAAGCCAGGAAGCAGCACUCCUCCACGGCCUCUGCCUCAGUCCCUGCCUCCAGGUUCCUGCUUGAGCCUUGGCUUCCUUUCAUGAUGGAGUGCAAUCCGUAUGUGUAAAGCCAACAAACCCCUUUCUCCUCGGGUUGCUUUUGCCGUGGUGUCUCUCUCAUAGUAUCAGAAAGCAAUUAGAACACCCCCAGAAGCAACCCAAAUCCUUUUGCGUUUUAUUGUACUUUUGUUGUAGGUUUUAUUGCAGGAAAUAAAGUUUUUCUAAAUCGACUUCCAGUAAAUAUCAACGAUAACAGCACAAAAAGAAAAUGGAGCAAUGGAGCCAUAAGAGAAAGUCAGCAAAAACAACAGAAGAGAAACCAGCCAGAGAGCCCAGAGCCCGGCGGCACUGUCAGGGCUGGUCUAUAAAAACAGUCAUUGAUACUUUAGACAGUAAGUAUGUAUGUAAGCAUGAAAAAUUAAAAGUGAGUCUACAGACAUCCCCGGUAAGGAGGAACCUACGGAAACGGACAGUGGACUUGGUAAAUAACCAGAGAGAACUUCUAGACUUGUUCAGCAGACGUCACCCAUGUGUGGCUCACUGUCAUGGGCAGCGAGAUCCCUGUCACUGAAGCUCUGAGAAGCACUUAUUACAGGAAGGGCAUCUAAAGCACAUUCUGUUGCAUCGUUCCGUCCUCACAGGAAAUGUCAAUAAACGGUGUAGUCACUUCAUAGCAAUAGUCACCCACGGCAGAAAACUGAAACCCACCAGAGAAAACUGAAACCCACCACAGAAAAAAUUUUGAACAACAAAAUGGGAAAAAUUAAAGCCUCCUCUAAUUUUACCACCGAGAGACAACUUUAUCACUGUGGGUGCUUGGUUUUCCCCAGGCUUUCCCUCUCCUACCCCGGUUCCUGUUUUUGAGAGGGGUGCUUUGUAUGUUGAACGUACAAUUUUAGAGUUUGCUUCUAUUGCUAACAAUAGAUAGGGCACCUCUUCCUGAGUUAAUAAAUGCACAGCUGCCCAGAAUACUUAACGUGUGCCUGGUUAGGCUCUCAUACGGGUGUAUGACAGCUUAUUCAACAAACCUUCCACUGUGGAGCAUUUAAGUCGAUUCCUAUCUUUACUGUGAAAAUAGCAUCUUGUAGCUCUAUCCUUUUGCAUAUCCUUAACUAUUUCGCCAGGAUGUACUCCUGGAUGUGGGAAUGGAUCUAUGCCUUGGGUUUUGACAAUCUUCCCUUUAUUAAGGUUCCCAACAGCAAUGCACGAGUGUGAACACUUGCUUGCCUGAGAAAAGCAGACUGUUUCCUUUGUGUUUCUUUGCCCUUUGAUUUCUUUUCCUUUGCAAAUUAAAUAGAGUUCACGUGGUAAUGCAUGGCCCGGCUGGUAGAAAUAAAGACUAGCUAAUGUCAUUACUGUCAUCGCCCUGGACUUCGUGGUAAGGGAACCACCCUUGGACACUGUAAGCACCAACCUCAAACUUGUCAUUUUAUUUAUAUUUAAAUACACUUAUUUUAUUGACUGGAGCCACGCAUGUAUAAACAUUUUUAUAUGAAGAAAUUCAUGAGCCUUAAUCCUUUCCUGCCUUUGGCGAGAGACUGAACGACCCUUUCUGCUCUCAGCGUAUAUAAACGGUGCUCAAGUGUUCAUCUCGCAAAGUGUGACAUCAUACAUUAUAUGUAAACCCAUAGUACACCUAGGAUUUAUUUUCAUAUAAAAGGUGGGAUAAAGAGCAAAGGUUUUUCACAAAUGACAAAUGGCUUACCUAGUCAACACUUGGAGUAUUUUUUUCAACUGGAACAGUAAUGUUUUUGAAUCAAGCUCUGUAAAUAGCCCCUUCAGAGUGGAGAGGGAUUAAUUGCUGCGUGUCAGAAGUCAGCAUGGGGCCGGCUCUGUUAAACACACUAAUGGCUGAGGUGGAUGGGGCUCUGGCAAGCAGGCUGCGAGCUUCUCCCUGUCCAGUGGUGACUUAAGUGGGUGACUUAGAGCCCAACAUGACAAUGAGAAAAACCAGACAGCCCUCAGUGUCAGCAGGGAGCGUGGCUGUAGUGUGUAGGGUGGCCGCCUGCCUGGAGGCUCAUCCAACUCCUGGGCCUUCACAGUGUAAAUCCAAAAGAGGAGCGAUCUGAGAAUGGUCCGGGC